GUGCCAUUCUUAAAUGGAUGGCUUUUAUAUACCCUAAAAAGCUGGAGAAAUAAGGGCUGGGCAAGACCGGUGCCAGCCGCCGCGGUAACACCGGCGGCUCGAGUGGUAACCAUUUUUAUUGGGCCUAAAGGGUCCGUAGCCGGCUUAAUAAGUCUUUGGUGAAAUCCGGUAAUCCCACUGUCAGGCUUUCAGGAGAUACUGUCUGGCUCGAGGCCGGGAGAGGUGAGAGGUACUUCAGGGGUAGGGGUGAAAUCCUGUAAUCCAAGG
RNAcentral lists this ribosomal RNA (267 nucleotides) under uncultured archaeon. RNAcentral describes it as "partial 16S ribosomal RNA". It matches the Rfam family "Archaeal small subunit ribosomal RNA", at positions 385 to 652 of the family's 1478-position model. The record is from RNAcentral.